CCCUUAGAUGCUCUGGGCCGCACGCGUGCUACACUGAGUGGAUCAGCGGGUCAGGUUGCGCGAAAGUGUUUCCUAAUCUUGAAAUCCGCUCGUGAUGGGGAUUGACGGUUGCAAUUUUCCGUCAUGAACGAGGAAUACCUUGUAAGCGCGGGUCAUCAUCCCGCGCUGAAUACGUCCCUGCCCUUUGUACACACCGCCCGUCGCUCCUACCGAUUGAGUGGUCCGGUGAGGCUUUGGGAUCUGAGCAAAAAGAGCGUUUCGCUCGUUUGGCUCGGAAAACUCAGUCGAACCUUAUCAUUUAGAGGAAGGAGAAGUCGUAACA
This 322-nucleotide ribosomal RNA is filed under the name uncultured eukaryote. Its description in RNAcentral is "partial 18S ribosomal RNA". It matches the Rfam family "Eukaryotic small subunit ribosomal RNA", at positions 1470 to 1796 of the family's 1831-position model. The record is from RNAcentral.